CAGUCAGCAGCAAUCGCUUUGAUAUCUUUGUUUUGAGCUUUUCUCCGCGUGAUAAAUGAUAAUACAGUUCAAAUAACUAAUGCAAAAUGAAAGCAGCGGCUCAGAAGCAAAAGUUUUCAUUCGUUCCAUCAGCCCCAGCUGGGGUUCGUCUGCUUUCAGUAGAAAAAUGAAACAGUUGAGGGGAAAAAAGUGCCUGGAGAGGAGAGUGAAAGUAAUGGUUCGCAGUGAAUAAGAAGAUCAGAGCAAAACGGGGGGAAAGGUUCGGAGGCUCUGUAGCAUUUCAAACACAUUCAUCACUUUAUUACAGGCAAGCACGAAUGGGAAAGGCUCGAGAAAUAAAAACCUGCAGAGAAUCCAGAGGGGAGGAAAACAAAAUCUGAAUGACACGUCUGACGGUAGCACAGCAGAUGGGAUAUGACAGUUGUCCAUGUCUGGCAGAUGUGAGCUGGCGGCCUGAUGAAAGGAUCAUCCCAAAGGUGGCUAACCAUCAGAACAGCAGACCAAAAGGAAGCAGGUCUGAUUCCAGGAAAUUACAUGGUUGGAUUUCACCAGAAAAAUGGAUUUGGUAAGAGCUGUUUGCAGAUGACACUUAACAGUCAGAGGUUUGAUCUUCUCAUGUAAACACUCAGCUGUGAGAAAAAUGUUUCAGUCUUCCGUGGAGCACAAAUGAGCCGUUUUUUCCAAGUGUUUUAAUCUUAACAAAUAAUCAUAUAAUUACUCCUCUAGUGGAGAUCAAAUAUUUUCAACACAAAAAUAAUAAAUCGAUCAUGUUUUUUUUACAUUUGAUCAAAUAUUUCCAUUUACACAAUUUGUUUGUUUCCAUCAUUAACAUUUUCACAUUACAUGUAUUCAUUUUGGCAAAUGGUGCAAAAGUAAACACCACUUGCUCUCUGUGCUUUUAGCAAACUAUUUCAUGGAACACAAGGUGGAUUUUAAUGAAAAUAAUCAUUGGACGAACAUCUGUGACUGAUUAUUAUUGCUCUUGAUCUUAGCUUAAAGGUGAUGUUCACUGAGAAAUGUGUAAUACUUUCUCUUUUUGAAAUACAACCUAUACUGAGUUUUACGUGCAUGAAAACAGUCUUCAACUCAAUUUCCUGCAUUAGCUGCCAAAAGAUAAUAGACAGGGUAAUCAUCGGGUCAGAAAAAGCUAUACUAAUCUAUGUCACACUGUAGAAGAAGAAGUUUAUUUAUAUAUGUAUAGCCCUUUUCACAGAAACAAAUUACAAAAUGCUUCACAAAAAAAUAAAAUGGACUCACCCACCUUGGCUACAGAAGGGUGUGUUGAUUUAGCAUCCAAGGGGAAGCAAAGCCUAGAAAACGCUAACCGUUAGCAUUAGCAACUCCACAACAUGACAUAACUCCUUCAGGCUUGUGUUAUUUCUGGAGGCUAAAAAAUGCCUCAAUGUUUUUUUUUUUUUUACAUGCUUUUAUUUGUGUUCGCUAAUCAGAGGUAAGAUGUUUGUAUAUAAUUAAAAAUAAAAACUCCAAAUCCUGCCCCCAACUAAAUUCUACUUCCUGAAACAGGAGCACAGAAAACGGCUCACAAGAGACCACAGCAGAUAUAUUGAAAUAAUUAUUUUAUACCCUGUUUACAUUUCUGGCAUUAAAGCUGCAAUAGCAAAUUUGGAAAAUAUAGUAGCUUAAUGCAUUUUAUUCAUGCCUCUUAAUAAAGUUUUAACAUAGUAUAGCUAUAAAUUUAUUGUGGAGAUAAAAAAAUAUUAUAAAGUGGUUUUCUUACAUUUGUCUAAAACCUUUGCCAAUAACACAAUUUGAGCCAAAAGCAACUUUUGGAUGAUCCAACUGUCAGUCUCACCCAUGGACGUAAUUUUCACUUUAGAUGUGGGGGGGACACGGGGUGGGGGUGGG
Molecule: long non-coding RNA, 1866 nt
Organism: Nothobranchius furzeri (turquoise killifish)
Lineage: Eukaryota; Metazoa; Chordata; Actinopteri; Cyprinodontiformes; Nothobranchiidae
Source: Ensembl